This 74-nucleotide transfer RNA is filed under the name Planctomycetota bacterium. RNAcentral describes it as "tRNA-Ile". It matches the Rfam family "tRNA". From Rfam's summary of the family: Transfer RNA (tRNA) molecules are approximately 80 nucleotides in length. Lineage: Bacteria; Pseudomonadati; Planctomycetota. The record is from RNAcentral. RNAcentral also lists the same sequence under 1 other name.
GGGUGUAUAGCUCAGUUGGUUAGAGCGCAGCCCUGAUAAGGCUGAGGUCCGAAGUUCGAAUCUUCGUACACCCA